GACACGUCGCCUGUUCUCUGCAGAGACGCGAGCCCAUACAAGGUACACGUUGUUGCAGUCGAUCGUCAAAAACCGUCCACCAAACACGCGUUCGUCUAACAAAUAGAUGGAUCAUACAAACUGGAAGCGACAGCUUGGCAGGCAAGAGAGCGCUUUCUACGAACUACGACCGAAAGAUGGGCGACGAGAAGGAGGAAGAAGGGAAAAGAAAGCAAGUGGGUACGAAGCUAAUUAACGUCCAGGUAGUGAAGGAGAAGCGUCGCUAAUAUCGUCGUGUAGUCGAACAGUCAGGCGGCUCGCUACACGUCACGUAGUCGCAAAACUUCAGGAGAGCACCCUUUUCCCAUCCGCGAAUGCCGUGGAUCUCGUAGAUCUCGUUCGUGAGACCCCGAAUAAUCCGUGACUGCUGCGGACGUCAUCUAUUCACACUCGUUCUCGCAACGUGUGAGCGACAUUUCUCUCUACGUCCGCUCGUGCCGGAAAUUGAUCGAAGUUGCGAUUUCUAGUCACGUUACCACGUAAGAAAAGAGAAGAAAAAAAGAGAAGGAUUUUACUUUGGCGCGUCUCAGCGAAGAGGAUAGAGAAAACAUUCCUUCCUCGUGGAUCACGCGCGACGAGUAUCUGGACACGAAACACGAUAAAAUGUCCAGAACAGACAGUGGCUCUAUACAAGUCUUGGUCAAGAAAUAAAUAGAGAAGUGUCGUG
Molecule: long non-coding RNA, 706 nt
Organism: Harpegnathos saltator (Jerdon's jumping ant)
Lineage: Eukaryota; Metazoa; Arthropoda; Insecta; Hymenoptera; Formicidae
Exons: 3
Source: RefSeq, a predicted model, not a curated record